GAGCAGCAGGCCAGGCGGCGGCCAGAUCCGCGCCGUCCUCCAGGGCUCCGAGCUACGCCGCGACGGACGUGCUCGAGGUCCCCAAUCCUGCCGCUCCGGAAAAAGGAGGAGGUGGCGGCCACCGCUUCCUUUCCCGCGCGACGAGGCGGCUCUCCCCAACCCCUGCGGCGUCUUCCCCACCCCCUCCUUGAUUUUAGAAAUCUCCCCUGCAUCAUCAUCUCGCCCAGCACCGGCUGGCUCACCAAGCUGCAGAGACUGCCGCACGCCUCCCCAAGCUUCCUCCCCUACUGCUGGAGCUGACCCGACCGGACCGGAGCGGAGACCUUUUCUUCCUCCCUCCUCGAUCACUGCAUGAGACCAACCUACAUGUCCAGAUCUACAAGAACAGCCUAUUUCAGAGCAGAGAUCAAUUACUGCUUCGAGCUCAGACCAAUAGCCAACUACCUGCAAGGAGGCCUCCUGACCCACCCCGCUGGUGGCGGCUUCUUCGUCGAUUGUAUAUCUCCUUAGCUCGGCUGCAUCAUCUCGCACAGCAUCGCCAGGAUCACCAAGUUGCAGAGGCUGUAACAUUUCCUCUUUUCUGAGCUCAUGCACAAGUGGCCGCCGUGUGGCAUGCGCGGGUGAAAACAUCUCUGCUCGACGCCUUCAUCCGGCAUAGGAUAGCUUAGGUAAAUAAAAAACCUGGAAGUCAUGGUUGUUACAUGCUGGGGGACCUUGAUAUGCCCAAGGGCCAUGUGGAUUCGGUUGUCAAGCGCAAGGGGCUCGACAGUGAGACCAUCCAGCAUUCUGUACACGGUGUGAUGAUUCGGGCUCCCAUGCCUGCCUCGUUGGCUACAACAACUUAGGACAUCUUAGAUAAAGAUAAAAACUGGAAGUCAUGGUUAUUACAUACUAGGGGAUCUUGAUAUGCCCAAAGGACACGUUGAUUUGAUAGCUGAGACCAUCCAGCAGUCUGUACGCGGGGUUGAUGAUUUGGGCUCCCAUGACUGUCUGCUUGGCUACAAUAACUUGCCACUGGUUUCGCUAAAGCGAGCCACUGAAUUGGGCCAGUGGACAUGGUGUGAUGAUCUGGUCUCCGAUGAGUGUCUCCUUGGCUAUAUCUACUUAGCCACCAGUUGUGCCAUAGCGAGCCAUUGAAUUGGGCCAGUGGACAGAGGGGCGUAGCGUAUUGACGUGUCCGGUGUCAGCGUGGACCAGCUGGGACGUGAAAAACAUGGACCUCGACCAUCUGGCGGUAUGUACAUGGUGUGAUGAUCUGGGCUCCCAUGACUGCCUCCUUGGCUGCAAAUACUUAGGAGAGCUUAGGUAAAGAAAAAAAACCCUGAAAGUCUUGGUUAUUACAUGCUAGGGGACCUUGAUAUGCCCAAGGGCCAUGUGAAUUUGGUAUCUAAGACCAUCCAGCAGUCCGUACACAGGAAGUGGUUGCGGCAGAGCGAGCCACUGAAUUGGGCUAGUGGACAGAGAGACGUGUCGACAUCUCCAGGGUCAGCUGAGACGUGAGCAGCAUGGGCAUUGAGCCAUCCAGCAGUCCGGACAUGGUGUGAUGAUCUGGGUUCCCAUGACUGUCUCCUUCGCUACAACUACUUAGCCACAUGAUGUGCCAUAGUGAGCCACUGAAUUGGGCCAGUGGACAGAGAGACGUAUCGACCUGGGACGUGAACAGCAUGGACCUUGAGACCAUCCAGCUGUAUGAACAUGGUGUGAUGAUCUAGGCUCCCAUGACUGCCUCCUUGGCUAUAACUACUUAGGGUUCUUGUACGGGUGGAACACACGACUUGUCAAUGGGCAUCUAGCAGCAGUUCUCUCCCUAUGUGAUGUCAGUGAGUUCACCGCGCCGCAUAUGCCUCUCCUUAGACUGUGGUUCAGGGUAGGGUUUGGCUUGUGGGAAGGUCAUCUACCAUUUUGUCAAACUGUGCAAUGUGAUGCUGUUCUGGCGAGUGCUUGAUGGGUGCUAGCUGUUAGCUCGUUUUGUAUCCAAGUGCUAUCUCUUUGAAACCCAAGAUUUGUGCUGCGCGCGCAGUGAAGAUAGUAGUAGAAAAUCAUGGGGUUUACUAGAUUUACAAGAUGGUGAGGAUGGUGAGAAGAAAUCUGUGCUGGACAUGGUGCACCCACAGUCAUCGUUUAAGGUUUUUUUUAUCCUCCGGAGGGCAAAGUGGGGCGAGAAGACAGAUAGAUGGAGCUUCGCGGUCUAUUGGAAGUCUGGUAGUUUGCAUUGCAUUUCGGUUAUCUGUGCAGGGUUGCUGCUGCAUGUGAAUGUGAUGUUGUUCCGCAUGGGUACUUGUUUUGCUAGGUGCUCAUUUUGUAUUGAACCGUUGUCUCUCUGAAAAGCAAUGUCUCUCCUUCUCUAUAGGAGACGAGAGGUGCAUUUCAGGGUUCGCAAAAUCAUGAUUUGUUGUCGAUGAUCUGUUGGAACGAGUUUCAAACAGUGUGAUGUUUGUUUUCUGAAUCCAAACCAGAAUAUAGUUGUAUGUUGUAAUUUUUGAACA
This is a long non-coding RNA of Aegilops tauschii subsp. strangulata, 2486 nucleotides long. RefSeq lists it as uncharacterized. NCBI's taxonomy places the organism in Eukaryota, Viridiplantae, Streptophyta, Magnoliopsida, Poales, Poaceae. The record is from RefSeq and is a predicted model, not a curated record.